Molecule: ribosomal RNA, 253 nt
Filed under: uncultured bacterium
Lineage: Bacteria
Description: partial 16S ribosomal RNA
Rfam family: Bacterial small subunit ribosomal RNA
Source: RNAcentral
UACGUAGGGAGCAAGCGUUGUCCGGAUUCACUGGGUGUAAAGGGUGCGCAGGCGGGAAGGUAAGUCGGAGGUGAAAUCUCACAGCUCAACUGUGAAACUGCCUCCGAUACUGCUUUUCUUGAGUUCGGGAGAGGUUGAUGGAAUUCCAGGUGUAGCGGUGAAAUGCGUAGAGAUGUGGAGGAACACCAGUGGCGAAGGCGACUCUUUGGUCUGUAACUGACGCUGAGGCGCGAAAGCGUGGGGAGCAAACAGG